GGAGAGGUGUCCGAGUGGUCGAAGGAGCACGACUGGAAAUCGUGUAGGGAUAAUAAAAUGUCCCUCGUGGGUUCGAAUCCCACCCUCUCCG
This 91-nucleotide transfer RNA is filed under the name Nitrospirota bacterium. RNAcentral describes it as "Nitrospirae bacterium tRNA-Ser". It matches the Rfam family "tRNA". From Rfam's summary of the family: Transfer RNA (tRNA) molecules are approximately 80 nucleotides in length. Their secondary structure includes four short double-helical elements and three loops (D, anti-codon, and T loops). Lineage: Bacteria; Pseudomonadati; Nitrospirota. The record is from RNAcentral.